AUGUAUAAUUAUAGUCCACAUGCCGCACGUGAUUAUUUAGGUGCUGGUCGCAGUAGUCAUGGCACAUCACAAGGGUAUGAUCCUCGACGUGGAAGAGCAAGAUACUUGGACUAUGGUGGAAUGCCAAUCACGGUUGGUUUCCUUCCAGCACCUGAAGGUAGCUCAUCUUUGUUGCGUGGACAUUCUGCUCAUAGUGCGCUUGAUCCGAGAGAAGCCAAAAGGGUGAGACUAGAUGCUGGCAUCGACCCUUACCAUGUAAGGGAAGGCACUGAGGGUCUUCAGCCGGGUCGGGUAGCUUUUUUUAAUCCUUGA
This 312-nucleotide ribosomal RNA is filed under the name Triticum aestivum (bread wheat). RNAcentral describes it as "partial small subunit ribosomal RNA". The record is from RNAcentral. Lineage: Eukaryota; Viridiplantae; Streptophyta; Magnoliopsida; Poales; Poaceae.